This 321-nucleotide ribosomal RNA is filed under the name uncultured eukaryote. RNAcentral describes it as "partial 18S ribosomal RNA". It matches the Rfam family "Eukaryotic small subunit ribosomal RNA", at positions 1470 to 1796 of the family's 1831-position model. The record is from RNAcentral.
CCCUUAGAUGUUCUGGGCCGCACGCGCGCUACACUGACGCAUUCAACGAGUCUCCUUGGCCGAGAGGCCUGGGUAAUCUUUUGAACGUGCGUCGUGAUAGGGAUAGAUUAUUGCAAUUAUUAAUCUUGAACGAGGAAUUCCUAGUAAACGCAGAUCAUCAAUCUGCAUUGAUUACGUCCCUGCCCUUUGUACACACCGCCCGUCGCACCUACCGAUUGGAUGGUCCGGUGAGGCCUCGGGAUUGUGGCUGGUGCAUUCAUUUGUGUCGGUUGCGAGAACUUGUCCAAACCUUAUCAUCUAGAGGAAGGUGAAGUCGUAACA